Molecule: ribosomal RNA, 431 nt
Filed under: rhizosphere soil bacterium RSI-28
Lineage: Bacteria
Description: bacterial SSU rRNA
Rfam family: Bacterial small subunit ribosomal RNA
Source: RNAcentral
GAGUUUGAUCAUGGCUCAGAACGAACGCUGGCGGCAUGCCUAACACAUGCAAGUCGAACGAGACCUUCGGGUCUAGUGGCGCACGGGUGCGUAACGCGUGGGAAUCUGCCCUUGGGUACGGAAUAACAGUUAGAAAUGACUGCUAAUACCGUAUAAUGACUUCGGUCCAAAGAUUUAUCGCCCAGGGAUGAGCCCGCGUCGGAUUAGNUAGUUGGUGAGGUAAAGGCUCACCAAGGCGACGAUCCGUAGCUGGUCUGAGAGGAUGAUCAGCCACACUGGGACUGAGACACGGCCCAGACUCCUACGGGAGGCAGCAGUGGGGAAUAUUGGACAAUGGGCGAAAGCCUGAUCCAGCAAUGCCGCGUGAGUGAUGAAGGCCUUAGGGUUGUAAAGCUCUUUUACCCGGGAUGAUAAUGACAGUACCGGGAGAA